RNAcentral lists this ribosomal RNA (324 nucleotides) under uncultured bacterium. RNAcentral's name for it is "bacterial SSU rRNA". It matches the Rfam family "Bacterial small subunit ribosomal RNA", at positions 28 to 334 of the family's 1533-position model. The record is from RNAcentral.
GACGAACGCUGGCGGCGUGCCUAACACAUGCAAGUCGAACGAAGCACUGUAAGUUGAGACUUCGGUUGAUUCUUACUUUGACUUAGUGGCGGACGGGUGAGUAAUGCGUGAGCAACCUGCCUCGGAGUGGGGGACAACAGUUGGAAACGACUGCUAAUACCGCAUGAUGUAUUCGGGGGGCAUCCUCUGAAUACCAAAGAUUUAUUGCUCUGAGAUGGGCUCACGUCUGAUUAGUUAGUUGGUGAGGUAACGGCUCACCAAGACUGCGAUCAGUAGCCGGACUGAGAGGUUGAACGGCCACAUUGGGACUGAGAUACGGCCCAG